AGCAUAUCAAUAAGCGGAGGAAAAGAAACUAACAAGGAUUCCCCUAGUAACUGCGAGUGAAGCGGGAAAAGCUCAAAUUUAAAAUCUGGCAGUCUCUGGCUGUCCGAGUUGUAAUCUAGAGAAGCGUUAUCCGCGCUGGACCGUGUACAAGUCUCCUGGAAUGGAGCGUCAUAGAGGGUGAGAAUCCCGUCUUUGACACGGACUGCCAGGGCUUUGUGAUGCGCUCUCAAAGAGUCGAGUUGUUUGGGAAUGCAGCUCAAAAUGGGUGGUAAAUUCCAUCUAAAGCUAAAUAUUGGCGAGAGACCGAUAGCGAACAAGUACCGUGAGGGAAAGAUGAAAAGAACUUUGGAAAGAGAGUUAAACAGUACGUGAAAUUGCUGAAAGGGAAACGCUUGAAGUCAGUCGCGUUGGCCAGGGAUCAACCUUGCUUUUGCUUGGUGUACUUUCUGGUUGACGGGUCAGCAUCAAUUUUGAUCAUUGGAAAAAGAUUAAGGGAAUGUGGCAUCUUCGGAUGUGUUAUAGCCCUUGGUUGCAUACAAUGGUUGGGAUUGAGGAACUCAGCACGCCGCAAGGCCGGGUUUUUAACCACGUACGUGCUUAGGAUGCUGGCAUAAUGGCUUUAAUCGACCCGUCUUGAAACACGGACCAAGGAGUCUAACAUGCCUGCGAGUGUUUGGGUGGAAAACCCGAGCGCGCAAUGAAAGUGAAAGUUGAGAUCCCUGUCGUGGGGAGCAUCGACGCCCGGACCAGACCUUUUGUGACGGUUCCGCGGUAGAGCAUGUAUGUUGGGACCCGAAAGAUGGUGAACUAUGCCUGAAUAGGGUGAAGCCAGAGGAAACUCUGGUGGAGGCUCGUAGCGAUUCUGACGUGCAAAUCGAUCGUCAAAUUUGGGUAUAGGGGCGAAAGACUAAUCGAACCAUCUAGUAGCUGGUUCCUGC
This 938-nucleotide ribosomal RNA is filed under the name Thaxterogaster picoides. Its description in RNAcentral is "LSU rRNA". It matches the Rfam family "Eukaryotic large subunit ribosomal RNA", at positions 37 to 961 of the family's 3401-position model. The record is from RNAcentral. Lineage: Eukaryota; Fungi; Basidiomycota; Agaricomycetes; Agaricales; Cortinariaceae.